CGCGUAGGCGGGGACGCAAGUCAGAUGUGAAAUCUCCGGGCUUAACCCGGAAACUGCAUUUGAAACUGUGUCUCUUGAGUGUCGGAGAGGUAGAUGGAAUUCCUAGUGUAGCGGUGAAAUGCGUAGAUAUUAGGAGGAACACCAGUGGCGAAGGCGAUCUACUGGACGAUAACUGACGCUGAGGCGCGAAAGCGUGGGGAGCAAACA
RNAcentral lists this ribosomal RNA (207 nucleotides) under uncultured bacterium. RNAcentral describes it as "partial 16S ribosomal RNA". It matches the Rfam family "Bacterial small subunit ribosomal RNA", at positions 568 to 774 of the family's 1533-position model. The record is from RNAcentral.